AGUAACCUCACUAACUCGAUGCGACCACGGACGUGCAGCGAAGGUGGGGGUGGACACUCGACCGUGCCUCGUGGAAGAUCAAGCCUCCUCAAAUUUGGUAAUAAGCUCCGCCCACGGACAUCAAGCGAAGGGGAAAAGGGCAUGAAAGCGCCUGAUAGUCCGACAAAGACCAGGGGGCGAUUCUCCAUUCCUUCAUUGACAUCUAGGAGUAGUCUUAGCAGUGGUCCCAUCAGACCCCUUAGCGUACAUCGGAUGGUAGCCCAGCCUAUGUCGAACUCGCCACCAAUACCCAAUAGUCCUCUUAG
Molecule: long non-coding RNA, 305 nt
Organism: Lytechinus pictus (painted urchin)
Lineage: Eukaryota; Metazoa; Echinodermata; Echinoidea; Temnopleuroida; Toxopneustidae
Exons: 3
Source: RefSeq, a predicted model, not a curated record